RNAcentral lists this ribosomal RNA (483 nucleotides) under uncultured eukaryote. RNAcentral's name for it is "bacterial SSU rRNA". The stretch from base 1 to 170 matches the Rfam family "Bacterial large subunit ribosomal RNA", at positions 2288 to 2457 of the family's 2925-position model. The record is from RNAcentral.
UCCUAAAGAGUAACGGAGGCGCUCAAAGUUUCCCUCAGCAUGGUUGGAAAUCAUGCGUAGAGUGUAAAGGUAUAAGGGAGAUUGACUGCGAGACAUACAAGUCGAGCAGGUACGAAAGUAGGACUUAGUGAUCCGGUGGUACCGCAUGGAAGGGCCAUCGCUCAACGGAUCUGCCAGUUGUCAUAUGCUUGUCUAAAAGAUUAAGCCAUGCAAGUGUAAGUAUAAAUAGAGAAAAGACUAUGAGACUGCGAAUGGCUCAUUAAAUCAGCAAUAAUUUAUUCGGUGGAUGAAGUAAUUCUGAGAUGGAUAACCGUGGUAAAGCUAGAGCUAAUACAUGCAGAAGAGAGUUCACGGGAAGUGAAGGUAUAUAUUAGAUACAAAACCAAAGAGAGAGGGGAGUGAUAAUAUUUGGAACAGAUCACGAGGGAGUGACGAGCCGAUCAAAUUUCUGCCCUAUCAACUUUGGACGGUAGUAUAGAGGAC